RNAcentral lists this ribosomal RNA (596 nucleotides) under Eudoraea sp. I14B-01167. RNAcentral describes it as "bacterial SSU rRNA". It matches the Rfam family "Bacterial small subunit ribosomal RNA", at positions 95 to 687 of the family's 1533-position model. Lineage: Bacteria; Pseudomonadati; Bacteroidota; Flavobacteriia; Flavobacteriales; Flavobacteriaceae. The record is from RNAcentral.
GUGGCGCACGGGUGCGUAACGCGUAUAGAACCUACCCUGUACAGGGGGAUAGCCCAGAGAAAUUUGGAUUAAUACCCCGUAGUACCUAUUAGAGGCAUUUUUAAUAGGUUAUAGUUUUCGAACGGUAUAGGAUGGCUAUGCGUCUUAUUAGCUAGUAGGUAAGGUAACGGCUUACCUAGGCUACGAUAAGUAGGGGCCCUGAGAGGGGGAUCCCCCACACUGGUACUGAGACACGGACCAGACUCCUACGGGAGGCAGCAGUGAGGAAUAUUGGACAAUGGGCGGAAGCCUGAUCCAGCCAUGCCGCGUGCAGGAAGACGGCCCUAUGGGUUGUAAACUGCUUUUAUACGGGAAGAAUAAGGGAUACGUGUAUCCUGGUGACGGUACCGUAAGAAUAAGGACCGGCUAACUCCGUGCCAGCAGCCGCGGUAAUACGGAGGGUCCGAGCGUUAUCCGGAAUUAUUGGGUUUAAAGGGUCCGCAGGCGGGCAAUUAAGUCAGAGGUGAAAUGGUGCGGCUCAACCGUAGCACUGCCUUUGAUACUGGUUGUCUUGAGUCAUGGUGGAGUGGCCGGAAUAUGUAGUGUAGCGGUGAAAU